Molecule: long non-coding RNA, 831 nt
Organism: Coffea arabica (coffee)
Lineage: Eukaryota; Viridiplantae; Streptophyta; Magnoliopsida; Gentianales; Rubiaceae
Source: RefSeq, a predicted model, not a curated record
UGUCACCGAGCAACUCACGAAUCUUAACAUGUAUCUGAUAAUUGAAGUUCAUCCAUACACCCUAUAAAUAACUCGUAGUACCAUCAUAUGCAUUUCAACCCAAUUGCUUGCUCUGCACCCACAGAACUAGUUCACGAUCAGAAGAGCUCUGACGAAUAACCGAUCAAGUUGUUUCCUGGUAGUGUGCUCGUUGAUUGUCCGAGUAGUAGCUCAAUGACGGGAUUGGGUGUAGCAAUCUGCAAAAUACGUGGUGGUUAUCAAGCACAUUAGAUCGAUAUAUACUCAAUUAUCAUGGCAUGGAACAACCGUUGGGGUGUUAGGGGACGCAAUUCAGAUCGCAUGAGGCAAGAUGAGGAAGAUGAGGCCUUGCUACUUAUGAGUGCCUCGUUAAUGUUAAUGCAUCCGUCUCUUGCACACAUAAGGAACAAUCAACCAAUUCCGCAACAUGAUGCGUUACACAACUUUUUAAGGAUGCACCAGCCAGAAGAUGACCAUUUUCAACGGUUCGAAGCAGAGGAUGUGCAUUUAAAUGAAGAGCCAGAAGUAGGCGGGCCAGUACGACAGCCAUUUGCAUUGAACGUAUCUCCUGCAGAGCUUGCGGAAUGAAAGGCUAAGCGAGACUACAUAGCGACUCAAAUGUACGCAGCACGGGGGCGACGACGCCGCUAGGUGUUUUUUGAAUUCACCGAUAAAUAAUUGUUAGUAACAGUACAAUUGAUGGAUGGAGUGUACUUAAAAUGGCCUCUUCUUCCAAGCUAAUAAAUUAAUGUGUACGGUAUCUGUAUUAAGUGUGAAUCGGUUUAUAUUUUAAGUCGCAAAAGUCAAAAUUUU